AACUACGUGCCAGCAGCCGCGGUAAUACGUAGGGUGCAAGCGUUAUCCGGAAUUAUUGGGCGUAAAGGGCUCGUAGGCGGUUCGUCGCGUCCGGUGUGAAAGUCCAUCGCUUAACGGUGGAUCUGCGCCGGGUACGGGCGGGCUGGAGUGCGGUAGGGGAGACUGGAAUUCCCGGUGUAACGGUGGAAUGUGUAGAUAUCGGGAAGAACACCAAUGGCGAAGGCAGGUCUCUGGGCCGUCACUGACGCUGAGGAGCGAAAGCGUGGGGAGCGAACAGGAUUAGAUACCCUGGUAGUCCACGCCGUAAACGGUGGAUGCUGGAUGUGGGGACCAUUCCACGGUCUCCGUGUCGGAGCCAACGCGUUAAGCAUCCCGCCUGGGGAGUACGGCCGCAAGGCUAAAACUCAAAGAAAUUGACGGGGGCCCGCACAAGCGGCGGAGCAUGCGGAUUAAUUCGAUGCAACGCGAAGAACCUUACCUGGGCUUGACAUGUUCCCGACAGCCCCAGAGAUGGGGCCUCCCUUCGGGGCGGGUUCACAGGUGGUGCAUGGUCGUCGUCAGCUCGUGUCGUGAGAUGUUGGGUUAAGUCCCGCAACGAGCGCAACCCUCGCCCUGUGUUGCCAGCACGUCGUGGUGGGAACUCACGGGGGACCGCCGGGGUCAACUCGGAGGAAGGUGGGGAUGACGUCAGAUCAUCAUGCCCCUUACGUCCAGGGCUUCACGCAUGCUACAAUGGCCGGUACAACGGGAUGCGAC
This 756-nucleotide ribosomal RNA is filed under the name human gut metagenome. Its description in RNAcentral is "bacterial SSU rRNA". It matches the Rfam family "Bacterial small subunit ribosomal RNA", at positions 499 to 1253 of the family's 1533-position model. The record is from RNAcentral.